UCCUACGGGAGGCAGCAGUGAGGAAUAUUGGUCAAUGGCCGAGAGGCUGAACCAGCCAAGUAGCGUGCAGGACGACGGCCCUAUGGGUUGUAAACUGCUUUUAUCGGGGGAUAAAGUCAGCUACGUGUAGCUGUUUGUAGGUACCCGAUGAAUAAGGACCGGCUAAUUCCGUGCCAGCAGCCGCGGUAAUACGGAAGGUCCGGGCGUUAUCCGGAUUUAUUGGGUUUAAAGGGAGCGCAGGCCGGAGGCUAAGCGUGACGUGAAAUGUAGACGCUCAACGUCUGAAUUGCGUCGCGAACUGGUUUUCUUGAGUGAGUACGACGUGUACGGAAUUCGUGGUGUAGCGGUGAAAUGCUUAGAUAUCACGAAGAACCCCGAUUGCGAAGGCAGUGCACGAGUCCUUUACUGACGCUAAAGCUCGAAAGUGCGGGUAUCGAACAGGAUUAGAUACCCUGGUAGUCC
This 462-nucleotide ribosomal RNA is filed under the name uncultured bacterium. RNAcentral describes it as "bacterial SSU rRNA". It matches the Rfam family "Bacterial small subunit ribosomal RNA", at positions 337 to 796 of the family's 1533-position model. The record is from RNAcentral.